CGCUUAGAAGGAAACGGACGGAGCUGAAAAGUCAGCUGUCGGAUUCAGUUUUCCAGCUGCCUGUGUGGCGGUAGGAGAAUGCAUUUCUGGCAGUUGUGCGUCACGACCAGUAUUUUCGCUGGCGAAGAUUGGUGCAGAGCCGACUGAGUCUUUGACUUAGUGCCCCAUGCACCUAUUCUGACCGUGUCGAAAGUACUGGAGACUAGCCGUGCCCGCUUGUCUCGAGCUUGGUGAAUGCUUGUCGACUUAACUGUCUGGUUCUAAUCGCAGAGCCUGACGCCCACCGGUUAAGUUAUUCUCCUUGUCUUCGAGUGGCACGUGAAGGUCUGUGGCGUCCGAGUCAUCCACCCGUCUGACCCGUCUUGAAACACGGACCAAGGAGUCUAACAUGUGCGCAAGUCAUUGAGUGGUAAACUCAAAGGCGAAAUGAAGGUAAAGGCUAGUUCCGCUAGCUGAGGUGAGAUCCUGUGACUUGUCACAGGCGCAUCACCGUCCCGUCCUAUGAGUGACGUCUCUUGGGUGGAGAAAGAGCGUGCAUGCUGGGACCCGAAAGAUGGUGAACUAUGCUUGAGCAGGAUGAAGCCAGUGGAAACUCUGGUGGAGGUCCGCAGCGGUUCUGACGUGCAAAUCG
RNAcentral lists this ribosomal RNA (631 nucleotides) under Thoracostomopsidae sp. SBA13. Its description in RNAcentral is "eukaryotic LSU rRNA". It matches the Rfam family "Eukaryotic large subunit ribosomal RNA", at positions 406 to 900 of the family's 3401-position model. The record is from RNAcentral. Lineage: Eukaryota; Metazoa; Nematoda; Enoplea; Enoplida; Thoracostomopsidae.